CCAUCCUUACCCUUUCAUUCCCUCUCCUCUGACGACUCCAACUCUAAGCAUUUCUUCCAGGAGAAGUGGCUCGCUUGCUCUCUAGCUCAUUCAGCCCAUGCACGAGAUUAAUGCAGGCGAGGCUGUAGUGCUCGCACCCCAUAGCUCCCACUAGAGCUCCUGCUGCCACCGUUAACAUGUGCAACGAGCUCAUCCAAUUCUACCAGAAGUUUGCCGCCAUGCUACGCUAGGUGCCAUGCCGCUUGCUCCCGCGCUGGCGGCUGAGUCGUGCGCUUCUCCUACUCCCAUACCUGCGGAGGAGGAGGACACGGCAAAGAGGGAGGUGGAAGGAGGAUGUGGUCACCAUGACUCCAUGGGAAGUUCUUACCAUGCUGAAGGAGGAAGAAGACUCCACACUGAGAUGCGCCAGCAAGCCACGAGGCACUAAGAGUUUUUGUGAUGCAUCUAAUAUUUUAAUAUGUUAGGAUUAGUGUUUUUAUCCAAUGAUCUUCGAUGUUGCAAGAUCCAUUUGAGAUGUCAAGUUCUAUGUUCUAUUUUUCGAUGCAUUCAACGAUUUUGAGAGGUUGGGAUAAGUAUUCACUAAUGUUGCAACAAUCGGUCUGAAAUGCUACAGAGUUUCCUUUUUCUUGAUGUUGCAUAAGGUAUUUUCUUAAGGUUGCAUAAGGUGUUUUCAGUUGUUUCAACAAUUAAUUUUGCAAAAUUGGCUUACGGGAAAAGAGAGGAUUUUGAUUGAAUUUGAAUGUUACGUGAAACAUUUGUAUUUGUUGUGGUGGGCAUUUGUUUUUUUUAAAACUAAAUGCUAAUGAAUUGUAAUUUCUAUCAUACAUUUUGGAUAUUACAAAACUUACGUUUGAAUGUUGCACGCUUUAUUUCUGUAUGUUGCAAGAGACCGUCCGAUGGGAUAUCUCCCAUCAGACGAUUGGACGCUAGCAGCCCCGUUCUUUUUUUUCUCCC
This 954-nucleotide long non-coding RNA is filed under the name Panicum hallii. RNAcentral describes it as "long non-coding RNA (PHAL_LNC000445)". The record is from RNAcentral. Lineage: Eukaryota; Viridiplantae; Streptophyta; Magnoliopsida; Poales; Poaceae.